GACGAACGCUGGCGGCGUGCUUAACACAUGCAAGUCGGACGGAAAGGCCCUGCUUUUGUGGGGUGCUCGAGUGGCGAACGGGUGAGUAACACGUGAGUAACCUGCCCUUGACUUUGGGAUAACUUCAGGAAACUGGGGCUAAUACCGGAUAGGAGCUCCUGCUGCAUGGUGGGGGUUGGAAAGUUUCGGCGGUUGGGGAUGGACUCGCGGCUUAUCAGCUUGUUGGUGGGGUAGUGGCUUACCAAGGCUUUGACGGGUAGCCGGCCUGAGAGGGAGACCGGCCACAUUGGGACUGAGAUACGGCCCAGACUCCUACGGGAGGCAGCAGUGGGGAAUAUUGCACAAUGGGCGGAAGCCUGAUGCAGCAACGCCGCGUGCGGGAUGACGGCCUUCGGGUUGUAAACCGCUUUCGCCUGUGACGAAGCGUGAGUGACGGUAAUGGGUAAAGAAGCACCGGCUAACUACGUG
Molecule: ribosomal RNA, 468 nt
Filed under: uncultured bacterium
Lineage: Bacteria
Description: partial 16S ribosomal RNA
Rfam family: Bacterial small subunit ribosomal RNA
Source: RNAcentral